GGUGAACGCUGGCGGCGUGCCUAAUACAUGCAAGUCGAGCGAACGGACGAGAAGCUUGCUUCUCUGAUGUUAGCGGCGGACGGGUGAGUAACACGUGGAUAACCUACCUAUAAGACUGGGAUAACUUCGGGAAACCGGAGCUAAUACCGGAUAAUAUUUUGAACCGCAUGGUUCAAAAGUGAAAGACGGUCUUGCUGUCACUUAUAGAUGGAUCCGCGCUGCAUUAGCUAGUUGGUAAGGUAACGGCUUACCAAGGCAACGAUGCAUAGCCGACCUGAGAGGGUGAUCGGCCACACUGGAACUGAGACACGGUCCAGACUCCUACGGGAGGCAGCAGUAGGGAAUCUUCCGCAAUGGGCGAAAGCCUGACGGAGCAACGCCGCGUGAGUGAUGAAGGCCUUCGGAUCGUAAAACUCUGUUAUUAGGGAAGAACAUAUGUGUAAGUAACUGUGCACAUCUUGACGGUACCUAAUCAGAAAGCCACGGCUAACUACGUG
This 497-nucleotide ribosomal RNA is filed under the name uncultured bacterium. Its description in RNAcentral is "partial 16S ribosomal RNA". It matches the Rfam family "Bacterial small subunit ribosomal RNA", at positions 28 to 507 of the family's 1533-position model. The record is from RNAcentral.